CGAUUAGUUGGACUGGAGACUUCGUUCAAAGGGAAGAUUAUGAAAGCGGCGGACGGGUGAGUAACGCGUGAGCAACCUGCCCUGUACAGGGGGAUAGCCACUGGAAACGGUGAUUAAUACCCCAUAAACCCAAAAGAUCGCAUGAUCUAAUGGGCAAAGUCCUAACGGUACAGGAUGGGCUCGCGUCUGAUUAGCUAGUUGGUGAGGUAAUGGCUCACCAAGGCGACGAUCAGUAGCCGACCUGAGAGGGUGAACGGCCACACUGGAACUGAGACACGGUCCAGACUCCUACGGGAGGCAGCAGUGGGGAAUAUUGCACAAUGGGGGAAACCCUGAUGCAGCAACGCCGCGUGAGUGAUGAAGGCCUUCGGGUCGUAAAGCUCUUUGAUCAGGGACGAUAAUGACGGUACCUGAAAAACAACCAC
RNAcentral lists this ribosomal RNA (425 nucleotides) under bacterium AuS25. RNAcentral's name for it is "SSU rRNA". It matches the Rfam family "Bacterial small subunit ribosomal RNA", at positions 67 to 493 of the family's 1533-position model. Lineage: Bacteria; Bacillati; Bacillota; Clostridia; Eubacteriales. The record is from RNAcentral.